GACGAACGCUGGCGGCGUGCCUAAUACAUGCAAGUCGAGCGAUGAAGAUCGGUGCUUGCGCCGAUUUGGAGAGCCGCACACGGGUGAGUAACGCGUGGGGCCUCUGCCUUUGAGCGGGGGAACACCUUUGGAAACGAAUGCUAAUCCCGCAUAACAACUUUCAACAUAAGUUUGAAGUGUGAAAGAUGCAAUUGCAUGACUCAAAGAUGAUCCCGCGUUGUAUUAGCUAGGUAGUGAGGUACGAGCUCACCAAGGCGUUGAUACGUAGACGACCUGAGAGGGUGGUAGGCCGCAUUGGGACUGAGACACGGCCCUUACGCCUGCGGGACGCAGCAGUAGGGAAUCGGCGGCAAUAGUCGGGAGUCUGACCGAGCAACGCCGCGUGAGUGGAGGAGGUGUUCGGAUCGUAAAACUCUGUUGGUAGUGGAGAACGGUUGUGGGCGUGGACAGAGCAUGAAGUGAGGGUAUCGAUACAGAAGGAGACGGCAAACUACGU
Molecule: ribosomal RNA, 496 nt
Filed under: uncultured bacterium
Lineage: Bacteria
Description: partial 16S ribosomal RNA
Rfam family: Bacterial small subunit ribosomal RNA
Source: RNAcentral